UAUUUAUUUGGUUUUAGUAAUAUAUUUAAAUAUAAGUUAUAUUUACAUGCAAGACCAUCAAUCCCAUAUUAAAUAUUUAUUUAAAAUUAUUUAUGCCAGCAGUAAAUAACCCUAUAAUAAUAACAAACAUUAAUACUGGUUAAUCUUUUAUAAAUUGGUAAAAUAAGUGCCAGCAACCGCGGUUAAACUUAAAAUUUAAUUUAAUUAUAUUGGAGAAUAGUACUAUUUUGAGAAAAGACAUUAAAUUAGAAGUUAAAUUCACUUUUUUCCUCUACCAAAAAUCUCAUUUGCACCCCUUCGAAAUUAAUAACAUAAACAAGGAUUAGAUACCCUUUUAUUUAUUAACAACUUAACCCUCCGGGUAGUAAAAACUCAUAAUCAAACCCAAAAAUCUUGGCGGUACUUUAAUCUACCUAGGGGAACCUGUUAUUUAAUAUGAUAAUCCACAUUUAAUUUCUCUAUAAUUUGAUAUCAACUUAUGUAUGGCCGUCACCAGCUUUCUUUGUAAAAAUAAAACAACCAAGAACCCCUUUCAUGUCAGGUCUUUAUAUAGUCUAUAUUAUAGUAUAAAUGGGUUACAUCUUUACCUAAAUUAUCACUAUUUAAUCUAAUUUGCUAGGACUUAGAAGUAAAAUCUUUAUAAAAUGUAGAUUUGAAUAAAGCAAUCUAAAGUGUGUACAAAUCGCCCGUCACUCUCGCCGAAAGGGGAGAAAAGUCGUAACAUAGUAGAAGUAAUGGAAAUUGCUCCUCAACUUAU
This 757-nucleotide non-coding RNA is filed under the name Myrianida brachycephala. The record is from RNAcentral. Lineage: Eukaryota; Metazoa; Annelida; Polychaeta; Phyllodocida; Syllidae.